CAGUCGCGGACGCGGGGGCUUCUCCGCCCUUGAACAGCACCCUCCAGGCAGCUUCGUACGUCGUGUCGAAGAGCCCGCUCAGGGUCCGGUGCUGUGCCGGAUCGAACUCCCACAAAGUGAAGGCCCGCUGUUGGCAGGGGAGAAUCCGGCGGACGAGCAUGACCUGGAUCACAUUGACAAGCCUAAGCUUCUUGUUCACCAAGGUUUGAAGACAGGACUGGAGUCCUGUCAGCUCCUCCGAACUGCCCCAUAGCAAGCCCUUCUCUUUCCAGGAGGUGAGCUGCAUGGGGAUACCAGAUCUGAACUCGGGGGCCGCUGCCCAUUUAGGGUCACGCGGCUCGGUGAUGUAGAACCACCCCGAUUGCCAUCCCUUGAUGGACUACACGAAGGCCCCCUCGAGCCAGGUGACGUUGGGCAUUUUGCCCACCAUGGCGCCUCCGCACUCCGCUUGAGCGCCCUUCACCACCUUCGGCUUGACAUUGAAGGUCUUGAGCCACAAGCCGAAGUGAGGCCGGAUGCAGAGGAAGGCCUCGCACACGACGAUAAAUGCCGAGAUGUUGAGGAUGAAGUUCGGCGCUAGAUCGUGGAAAUCCAGGCCGUAGUAGUACAUGAGCCCCCGGAUGAAGGGAUGAAGUGGGAAGCCCAGUCCGCGGAGGAAGUGGGGAAGGAAUACGACCCUCUCAUGGGGCCUAGGGGUGGGGAUGAGCUGCCCCUCAUCGGGUAGUGUGACACCCGGAUAAUUAAGCUACAGUAAUUCUCUGCUAAUGAUGCCAUGACACCUCGGUUACUGUUGCUAUCCUCGCAAUAAUUCGAAACCGUUCGAAAUUCAAAUUCAAAUUAAUGGUAACAAUAAAAGUUUUCAAAAAUUAAAACAAAAAUGUUCGGUGGUUGCCGAAUAUUACAAAGGUAAUUAUGGUGCAACAUACACAUUUUUAUAAAAUGGCUAAAUGGUUUAAAAUGAUUUAAACAGAAAAGAAAGUAAAUUAAAAAAAGAAAAGAAAACAGGAAACAAACAAAAAAGGGAAAAGAAAGAAAGGCCCCACUAGGCUUCGGCCUAGUAGGCCGGCCCAUUCGGCCACACCGACCGGCCCAUCCCCUCCCCCUCCACAACCCCAACAGGGGGAAACCCUAACCCCAUCCACCCACUCUCCCCACGUCGCCCCCCUCCUCUCUCCCGAUCUGGAUCGGGAUCCAGAGGAGGCCACCGCCGCCUGGAACCGCCGACGCCGCCCGGUGCUGUCCCGUCCCUCGCCGCACGCCUGACGCCGCCCGGAACCCCCUCGACAGACCACCUCGCAGGCCUGCUCCUCCACGUCGACGUCGACCCCGUCCCCCUCCACAACGGCCUUCCCCGACCUCCAUCGCGCCCGCUGCCCUAGUCCCUACUCCCCCACCGUGAGCUCCCUCCCUCUCCCUCAUUCGCUCACCGCACCGUUCGCGCUCUCGCAUGCGCCGCGCCCGCCGUGGCCCCUGCUCGCGNNNNNNNNNNNNNNNNNNNNNNNNNNNNNNNNNNNNNNNNNNNNNNNNNNNNNNNNNNNNNNNNNNNNNNNNNNNNNNNNNNNNNNNNNNNNNNNNNNNNNNNNNNNNNNNNNNNNNNNNNNNNNNNNNNNNNNNNNNNNNNNNNNNNNNNNNNNNNNNNNNNNNNNNNNNNNNNNNNNNNNNNNNNNNNNNNNNNNNNNNNNNNNNNNNNNNNNNNNNNNNNNNNNNNNNNNNNNNNNNNNNNNNNNNNNNNNNNNNNNNNNNNNNUACCCGCCUCCCCUCUCCUCCUCGUCGCCGCUAGCAUCUGUUGCCGCCGCCGCAGCCUUCAGUCCGCCUGCGCCGUUCCGCCAUGCCCAGCGUCCCGUGCCCCGUGGGCACCAGCGCUCCCCCCCGGGUCGAGCUUGACCGCCCCAGCCCGGUGAAACUCGCCCCACUGCAGCCCCCUUCCCCCCCCCUCACCGCGCCGCCCCAGUGCUCGCCUCUGCUUCCCGCCGGCGCCCAUCACCGGCCGGCCGCCCUGGCGCGCACCGGCGCCUGGCCGCGUCGUGCGCCCAGCGCCCCUCGGGCAUGCGUUGUUCGGGUGACGCCCGCACCCAGCGCCCAACCCACUAUGGCCCUGGGUCACUGCCAAACGGGGCCCGCGCCCUCCCACGGAACGUUAAAAAAAAGAGAAUUAGUUAAAAUAAUAACAUUAAUUAAUUAAUCAACUUAAUUAAUUUUGAUUAAUUAAGCUAAACAACUAAUUAAACAUUAGUUGUUUAAUUAACCUAGUUAGUUAGUUAAUUAGCUAAUUAAGUAGUCAAUGACAGUGGGGCCCACCCCCUAAUUAAUCCUGAUUAGGUUAAAUAAAAUGCUUAAUUAAAAUGUGUCACUGACCAGUGGGACCCACUGGUCAGGUUGACCAGUCAACCCCUGUUGACUGCUGACAUCAGCAUGACAUCAUGCUGAUGUCAUAAAUCCAUUUUCGAAUUAAGUUAAAUAAUUAAUUAAAUUCCAGAAAUUAAUAAAAUCUUUAGAAAAUCAUAUCUUUUAAUCCGUAACUCGGAUUAAAUUAUUUUCAACAUGAAAGUUGCUUAGAACGACGAGACGAUUCCGAAUACGCAACCCGUUCAUCCGCCACGCGUCCCUAGCAUAGUGAACCUGCAACAUUUCACCUCCGGUUCAUCUGUCCGAAAACACAGAACACCGGGGAUACUUUCCCGGAUGUUUCCCCCCUUCACCGGUAUCACCUCAUACCGUGUUAGAACACGUCUAGCUCUGCUUGAUGUCCUGUUAUGCACUUGCUUGCUAUGUAUUUACUGUUUCUCCCCCCUCUUCUCUCCGGUAGACCCCGUGACGAUGUUGAUGCCCCUGUGGUCGACUACGUCACCGACGACCCCUCCUUGUCUGAGCAACCAGGCAAGCCCCCCCAUUGAUCACCAUAUAUCGCCUAUUCUCCUCUAUACUGCUUGCAUUAGAGUAGUGUAGCAUGUUACUGCUUUCCGUUGAUCCUAUUCUGAUGCAUAGCCUGACAUUGUUGCUACAUUUGUUGAUACCUUACCUGCAAUCCUAAAUGCUUAGUAUAGGAUGCUUGUUUAUCAUUGGCCCUACAUUCUUGUCAGUCUGCCUUGCUAUACUAUCGGGCCGUGAUCACUUGGGAGGUGAUCACGGGUAUAUACUAUACAUACAUACAUACUAUACAGAUGGUGACUAAAGUCGGGUCCGCUCGAAGAUUACCCGCGAGUGAUUCACGGAUUGGGGGCUGAAAGGACCUUUGUCCUGACGGCCCUCUGUGUGGAUCUUUGUGGCGGAGCAACAUGGCAGGUUGAGACCACCUAGGCGAGAGGUGGGCCUGGCCCUGGUCGGCGUCCGUGGUGGCUUCAUAAUAACACGCUUAAUGAGAUCUUGGUAUUUGAUCUAAGUCUGGCCAUUUGGUCUAUACGCACUAACCAUCUACGCGGGAGUAGUUAUGGGUAUCCCGGCGUCGUGGUAUCAGCCGAAGCCUUCGUGACGUCAGCCACUGAGUGGCGCGCGCCGGAUUGGACUGGAACGCCACUAGGCUAGGUCUGCUUCCGGCCGCGUUUGCAACGUGCAGGUGUGGAAAGGGCGAUGGGCCCAGACCCCUGCGCCAUAGGAGUUAGACCGACAUGCUGACCUCUCUGUUGUGCCUAGGUGGGGCUGCAACGUGUUGAUCUUCCGAGGCCGGGCAUGACCCAGGAAAGUGUGUCCGGCCAAAUGGGAUCGAGCGUGUUGGGUUAUGUGGUGCACCCCUGCAGGGAAGUUUAUCUAUUCGAAUAGCCGUGUCCCUCGGUAAAAGGACGAUCCAGAGUUGUACCUUGACCUUAUGACAACUAGAACCGGAUACUUAAUGAAACACACCCUUCCAAGUGCCAGAUACAACCCGGUGAUCGCUCUCUAACAGGGCGACGAGGAGAGGAUUGCUAGGUAGGAUUAUGCUAUGAGAUGCUACUUGGAGGACUUCAAUCUACUCUCUUCUACAUGCUGCAAGACGGAGGCUACCAGAAGCGUAGUCUUCGACAUGAUUAGCUAUCCCCUUCUUAUUCUGGCAUUCUGCAGUUCAGUCCACUGAUAUGGCCCUUCACACAUAUACCCAUGCAUAUGUAGUGUAGCUCCUUGCUUGCGAGUACUUUGGAUGAGUACUCACGGUUGCUUUCUCCCCGCUUUUCCCCCGUUCCUUUCUUUCUGGUUGUCACAACCAGAUGCUGGAGUCUAGGAGCCAGAUGCCACCGUCAAUGACGACUACUGCACUGGAGGUGUCUACUACUACGUGCAGGCUGUUGUCGAUGACCAUGAGUAGUUCAGGAGGAUCCUAGGCAGGAGGCCUGCGCCUCUUUCGAUCUGUAUCCCAGCUUGUGCUAGCCUUCUUAAGGCAAACUUGUUUAACUUAUGUCUGUACUCAGAUAUUGUUGCUUCCGCUGACUCGUCUAUGAUCGAGCACUUGUAUUCCAGCCCUCGAGGCCCCUGGCUUGUAUUAUGAUGCUUGUAUGACUUAUUUAUGUUUUUAGAGUUGUGUUGUGAUAUCUUCCCUGAGUCCCUGAUCUUGAUCGUACAUGUUUGUGUGCAUGAUUAGUGUACGAUUGAACCGGGGGCGUCUCAAGUUGGUAUCAGAGCCGACUGCCUGUAGGAAUCCCCCUUUCCAACUCCUUGGCCGAAGUUGAGUCUAGUCGAUGAAAAUUGUUUUACUAACUUGGCUGUGCGGCCCAUGGGCCCACGUUGCCAAAUGGGUGGUAUUAGGAUCUUUUACUCCUCGAUCUUUACUCCGGGAUUCUGAACUCUCUUCUAUUCGGGUUAAACGAUUUUUACUAAAAUCUAACUUUAGGUUCUCGAAAAUACUUUUUCCCGGAGAGCCCCUUCAGUCCAGAUGAUCGCCGGCUGCACUAGAAGAUUUCGAAGAUACUCUCUGAUUUUCUCUCGAGACCUUGUGCCUGUUGCUUUUGCAAUUCCCUUCCACCGAAAUAUCCUUAUGGAUAAAUACUUACACCUGUCGUGCUUACUUUUAUUCCCAGUCGAUCUUGUUAUUGCAAGAUACCCUGAGAAUAUUUUGUGCCUACUGCCUUGCAGUUCUUUGCCACCUGAAUACCCCUAAGAAUAAUUUGUCACACCUUUCGAGUAUCCGCUCAUCCCAAUUUUUCAGGUGUUUCAAAAAAGUCUUUGAAAUACUAUUCAAUCCUCCGAAAAUCCUUAGCAGCUUUAUUGCUCUGCAAAUACUUGUCUACUAGCAUUAUGGAUGCUUCCCAUAUAUCUGGCAAUAUUCACUAGUAUCUUUUGACACCGUCAUUUUGAUCCUAUUGAUUCAAUAUGUGUGUGAAUGCACACAAUCAUCUAUCAACCCUUCUAAAUUAUCUUUCCGACUCAGACAUCAUUGUUGAACAUGAGCUGGUUCUCGACCAAACUAUUUGUCGCCAAUUGUGCCUCUGGUCUAUCCAACUUAUCCAUCCUUGAUCAGAGCGACUGCUUCUGAUCCUUUGUUUUGGAAAUCGUAAUUCCUUUGUUAUCUAACCAUCGAAUUAUUCCGAUGUUCUAUAAUAUAAUGCUUGUGCAUUUUUUCUUCUGAUGGAGUACCAAUACUCACAUCAGCUCCGUUGUGGAUCACCCGAUCCAUUGUUGGAUUGUUAUCCGACAGUGUCCUUCAUAUUCAAUCACCUGGUGAGUUCUUCCCCUGAUACAUAGUGCCUUUGGUAAAUUGUAUCAUCUGCUUGGCCAACCAUGCUCUGCUUUCGAGCUGGUAGUAUUUACUAUUGAAGCUUAUGGUAUAUGUUUCCACGAUACCCUAACGGGUUGAACCUAUGCAUUCCUUAAUAUGUGUGAACUCGAAAGUUUUCACGAGUCAUACUCUUCUGGUAUUUUGCUAGAUAAACUUUCAACACUACAACUGCUUCGAAUGUGAGAGGUGAAUGGAAGGUUAUACAUUAAAGAAGUGGGAGUCGACCUUGAACUUUGUGUUCAUGCCCAUGGACAUGAUGUGGGACCUAUCACCUACCAUAGAAGCUUCUUGUUAUAAUAACUAUUUCGUUGAUAUAAUACCAUCUGGUAUCUGUGGAUUGAUCCUAUGCAAUCGUGGUUCCGACCCUAUUUUCUCUUUGAUCCCAUUUCUCGGGCAAGUUAAAGCACUUGUCUUUUGCAAGUCAAUACACCAGUCCAACCUCUACCUUGAUCUACCCUCGGGUAUCUCGAGAAUAUCUAAGAACUGUGUUGCUUCUUAUGAGUCUUCAUCAGCUAUUAUUUCUCACUGAUUCCAAUUUUCUCGGGUUCUGGGUUGUCGUCAAUCGAGAACAUCGAUUCCGCAUUUCGAUUCGACAACCCUAAGUAAUUUUCGUUGCUUAUGAGUUUAUUAAUCCUUUAAGUCUUUCCUAGCCUGAUCGGCUAUAUCGUUAUCGUGCUCAAUUUUAGCAGUGCUACCUGGUCCUUAUUCCCGGAGCAUAACUUUCGGUGAUGAGCUAAGCUUACGUUGAUCUUCCUCGUCUUAUCGUUUCACCUCAAACAGCAAGCUUGGUUUCGAGUCUGUGUCGUAUCCGUGAUUCCAAUAAACCUUCGCUUCACCAUUGCUUUUGCUAGAUGUCGUCGCUGUUCGAUUGCUUCUUCGUGAAGCCUCUCGACAAAAUUUGUCGUGAUGAUCAUAAUCAACAUUUUGACUCCUUCCAGGAUAUCAACCAAAUUCAUGAUGGUAAGUACCAUCCUCGUCCCUUGGUAAUUUGAGUUACCAUCGACAACAUCCUUAUCUCUCUUUCAUCAUAAACUUGUUUAUGUUGUGGAUGCAACUUGCUACCGAGCUUGUAUUACGUUCUACCUUGAAGUAUUACCACCUUGUAUGUCAAGGAUGUUGUGAUAAUUGCUCCACCUCUUGACAAUUCUUGAUAUAUUAUUACUUCUCGCCAUCUCCGUUCAUUCCUUGGUCCCUCCCUGUUGUUCCUAACCGGAAUACCGACAACUGGACUAUGAUGUGUGAAUUCAAAACUUCUAGCAACCCUAUUGUUUGAAGUUAAUGGUUGAUAUUUCAUUCUUAGACCAUUGGUUAUCGAAUCACCAUUCUAACAUUGAUCAUGCCACCUAAGUCCAUAUUUCGGGUGCACCUUUCAACCAAUGUUUAACUGGGUAUGUUUUCCUUGAGCAUGCCUCAUUAUAUCAUUUGAUCUGACAAUUGUUAUCUCUUUGUUCACAUGAUUGUGGAAAUCCAUCUUUUGGAAAUCUCGAUGAAUUGCGGUUUAGUUCAUCAGCCACCCCCUCAUCCUCUCCUUGGUUUGAUGAUGAACUCUUGUUUCGGAACUCGUUUCCAUAGUCCAAUUCCCGAGAAUCUUACAUUGUCAUCUCGACAAUUUGUGUUGCACCUUUUCUUCUCAGACAUCCUGAGUCUGAGGUAUCCUGACACCAAUCAGAUCUGAGUCUCGGUUAGAUAUGAUGGUUGGAACAUAUUUCCAGGAGUUAUAAACAUCUUUACAUGACCCGGUAAGGUGAUGUCAUGCCUAGCACACCUGGCCGGAGGCCCUAUUGUUAUAGAUUCCUUUUCUGCAAGGUUAUCCUUUCUUCCACGAGGAAAUUGUAAGACUUAUUCUACAAGUUGUUCCUGAUGGAUCCUUCCUUUAUCCAAAGUCCGGCCCUUGAUUGAAACACCAUAUCAUUACUACCUCGAAGCAUGACUAUGAUACCCCGCUCAUCAACAAGAACAUUGGAGGCACGAUGCUAAAUGUUUCUUGGUCAGUUAUCCAAACACCGCUGUCAAGAACUUUCUCUCCCCUUACCUAAAGAGUUUUCUACAUUAUAUCUUGUCACAGAUAUCAGGCCCUGCUUGUCCUUGGGGAUGAUAUGUCCCUGAAAUAUGUGUUUAAACACAUUUUUUCCUUUCCAUUGUUCUGUUUAAUCUGAUAAUCAUAUUUUCCUUUCCAUUGUUUGGUUUAACCUUUCUUGUGAUCUAUAUGAUCUAAGAAGUAUUAUUCUCCUGCUUAUGUAAACACCACGGUGUACAAUUCUCUCAGCAAGACCCUGUUACUAUUGUUGAUGACAUUCCGGUAGCCACCGAUGGACGAGAACUUUGCCUAUUGGUCCGCCUCGUUCAACGAGCAGGAUAAUGGUUCUCUUUGUCCCUCGCCCUGGGUACCGACAUUGUUGCCGACAUAACUGACAUGCUACUCUCUGACAUGCCUUGCUAUCAUGACCGUGCAAGAUGUCACUGCUCCUAUUAAAAAAAUCCACAUGGUGGGCCCAUAACCCACGGUUCCACAGGAUCGAAACCUGACUGUCCUGUACACCCCCUAUUCUCAAAGUUAUUCCUCGCGCGUGGCCUCGUAUGUAAUUCACGGGCCACCGUCCUAGUGAUCUAUUCUGGUAUCAGACGCAAUACUUACUCUCGCUACUCUGAACCCUUUCUCACUCUAGUUCAGACUUCGAGCAACUAUCUAUCCGCUUGGAACCUCUUAUUGUACCUUCGUACCUUACUCUCGAUAUAUUUCAUAUGUUCAACUCCAGAGAUAAUCUUAUACUCAUUCAUGGGUUAACCCCAGAUUGUUUCCCUCAAAAGAAUUAUGUCGUAGUGAGCUGCCCCUUAUCCUUUCGUAAGUACGAUGGAGUUCCCGAAGAAAUGAUGACAAGUUUAUCAUGAUGCAUUGGAAUAAAUAAUUGAAGACAUCAACGAAACGGAUUAACUUCUUCGAGAAGAUCCGUUAGAAUAUCGUAACCAGAACUUUCCCCCUUACUCCCCUCUUAAAUCUCGGGACGAGAUUUCUUGUAGUGGAGGAGAAUUGUGACGCCCGGAUAAUUAAGCUACAAUAAUUCUCUGCUAAUGAUGCCAUGACACCUCGGUUACUGUUGCUAUCCUCGCAAUAAUUUGAAACCGUUCGAAAUUCAAAUUCAAAUUAAUGGUAACAAUAAAAGUUUUCAAAAAUUAAAACAAAAAUGUUCGGUGGUUGCCGAAUAUUACAAAGGUAAUUAUGGUGCAACAAACACAUUUUUAUAAAAUGGCUAAAUGGUUUAAAAUGAUUUAAACAGAAAAGAAAGUAAAUUAGAAAAA
Molecule: long non-coding RNA, 8980 nt
Filed under: Triticum aestivum (bread wheat)
Lineage: Eukaryota; Viridiplantae; Streptophyta; Magnoliopsida; Poales; Poaceae
Description: long non-coding RNA (TAES_LNC023348)
Source: RNAcentral